AUGAACGCUGGCGGCGUGCCUAAUACAUGCAAGUCGAGCGAACGGACGAGAAGCUUGCUUCUCUGAUGUUAGCGGCGGACGGGUGAGUAACACGUGGAUAACCUACCUAUAAGACUGGGAUAACUUCGGGAAACCGGAGCUAAUACCGGAUAAUAUUUUGAACCACAUGGUUCAAAAGUGAAAGACGGUCUUGCUGUCACUUAUAGAUGGAUCCGCGCUGCAUUAGCUAGUUGGUAAGGUAACGGCUUACCAAGGCAACGAUGCAUAGCCGACCUGAGAGGGUGAUCGGCCACACUGGAACUGAGACACGGUCCAGACUCCUACGGGAGGCAGCAGUAGGGAAUCUUCCGCAAUGGGCGAAAGCCUGACGGAGCAACGCCGCGUGAGUGAUGAAGGUCUUCGGAUCGUAAAACUCUGUUAUUAGGGAAGAACAUAUGUGUAAGUAACUGUGCACAUCUUGACGGUACCUAAUCAGAAAGCCACGGCUAACUACGUG
RNAcentral lists this ribosomal RNA (496 nucleotides) under uncultured bacterium. RNAcentral describes it as "partial 16S ribosomal RNA". It matches the Rfam family "Bacterial small subunit ribosomal RNA", at positions 29 to 507 of the family's 1533-position model. The record is from RNAcentral.